RNAcentral lists this ribosomal RNA (465 nucleotides) under uncultured Klebsiella sp. RNAcentral describes it as "bacterial SSU rRNA". It matches the Rfam family "Bacterial small subunit ribosomal RNA", at positions 338 to 795 of the family's 1533-position model. The record is from RNAcentral. Lineage: Bacteria; Pseudomonadati; Pseudomonadota; Gammaproteobacteria; Enterobacterales; Enterobacteriaceae.
CCUACGGGGGGCUGCAGUGGGGAAUAUUGCACAAUGGGCGCAAGCCUGAUGCAGCCAUGCCGCGUGUCUGAAGAAGGCCUUCGGGUUGUAAAGCACUUUCAGCGGGGAGGAAGGCGGUGAGGUUAAUAACCUCAUCGAUUGACGUUACCCGCAGAAGAAGCACCGGCUAACUCCGUGCCAGCAGCCGCGGUAAUACGGAGGGUGCAAGCGUUAAUCGGAAUUACUGGGCGUAAAGCGCACGCAGGCGGUCUGUCAAGUCGGAUGUGAAAUCCCCGGGCUCAACCUGGGAACUGCAUUCGAAACUGGCAGGCUAGAGUCUUGUAGAGGGGGGUAGAAUUCCAGGUGUAGCGGUGAAAUGCGUAGAGAUCUGGAGGAAUACCGGUGGCGAAGGCGGCCCCCUGGACAAAGACUGACGCUCAGGUGCGAAAGCGUGGGGAGCAAACAGGAUUAGAUACCCGUGUAGUC